Molecule: long non-coding RNA, 2729 nt
Filed under: Ananas comosus (pineapple)
Lineage: Eukaryota; Viridiplantae; Streptophyta; Magnoliopsida; Poales; Bromeliaceae
Description: long non-coding RNA (ACOM_LNC044162)
Source: RNAcentral
GAAGAAAUCUAAACAAAACCUUUCGUUAACCCACAAUUAGAGCAUCAUCAUUUGCUUUCGAACUAUAUGAGAUUUAUCCUGAUAUAACUAUCAGUCAAGAUAUUAAUUCCCAAAGACUAACCUCAUGCAGUUUGUUCCCUGAAGCUUAGUUCCAAUUAUACAUAACUAGAAUCAGAAGAGAAAGAAACAAGUAGCUGGGUAAUCUCUUUCUCAAUAUUCCAAGAUGCUUAGUUCCAUUAGGAGAGUCUCAUCUCAAUCCUAUUAAUUCAUCUUCCUGGUCAAUCAUUAUCUGCCUUGCAGAGUUCGCAGGAAAAACAACUGAACAAAUCCUUCAUAACCUUUUCUAUCACAGAAGACUACAACUUCCUCAGAUGCUACUCAAUCUAUAUCAUGCACCAAUACUAAAAGCUGAUCAAAAGUGUAAGGUACCGGACUUCUAAAAUUAUGAAGUUACGGUGUACAUUUGGUUUGAAAGCCAUUUGAAUGAUUCCGGUGAGGUUGCGGUGGAAUGUAAUAUACCGGAUUUUAAAUAUAAAAAUAGAAAUAAAUAAAAAUAGUAUGAGAUACUAUUUUUAUUGGAUUUAGAGGAGUAAAACAUAAGUCAGAAGUGACUUGUGCUGAAAUCGGAAUGAAAACAGAAGAUAUAGAAUUUUCUGUUGGAGACGGGACAGAAAAAUAAGCAGAAAAUGCACAGUCUCAGAAAAUUAUGAAAAUUGGCGGNCGGAGGAGUGAGAUGGCAGUAGCACUGUAGCAUUGCUAAGUGUGAAGCAGGCCAUGGGUCAUUCGUGGGGCUGGUGGCUCGCAGUAGGUGCUUAGGAGCCGAUAGUAGUAUAUGUGGCUCGGUAGAACAUGUCGUGUCGGACGACGACGGCAGGUAGUGCUUGGGGACAACCCAUGCCUGGACCAUUUGUGGACUGUGAAGCCUAGGCCCAUUGGGUAGGCACAGUCGGCUGCGAGUGGCAGCGGCCCGGUACCUACGGGUAGGGCAGAGUUUUGGUCAGGGUGGUAGUCCGAGCAUAGACCCGGGAGCGUGGAAUGCCACGUGUGGAUUACGAGAUCGAUGACACACCGAGUGUGCAGUAACCCAACCCGAGAACCUGAUGUGGUUUGGGGUCAUAGUUGCUCCUAGUCGGAGUGUGUGCGAAUUCCCAAGUGAGAAUUUCGCCCAGUAGUGUUGAUUGGGUCUACGCUUGCGAGCGAGAGACGCUACGUGUUGAGACGGUUUAGGCUAUAGGCCUAUGUAGAAUUGGUGACUGUUGGUCCACCUGUGGAAACCGAGGUAAUCGGUUUGGCCCGUAACUCUGUCGAGGAGUUUGGCUUGGAUUCACGAAUGGAGUGUUCGUGUGAGUUCGUUGCGAGAACGACUUGGUGUUGGCCGUGGCGAUUAAAAGAGAAAGUAAAGUGGUCUCUUGGAGACACUUGGAUAUUGGAUUGCCACGCGAGAUCUGAGAAUAUGCUCUCUAGAGGAUUAACAUUGGAGAUGUGCCGAAGGGUGCCAUCUCGUAGUAAAGCAAAUUCGAUUGUGAUAAUGGCACUUGCGAUGGGUCGAUGCACCAAUGAUAUUGCUUCUAGGCAAUUCCAGUGAUCGAAUCGAAGUAUAUUCCCUAGAUUCGGUCGCAAAUAGUGUUGGAGUGUGUAAAGUUGUCGAGUGUCGACUUACGCUGCCACCAAGACUUGCGGAACCGUAAUGCACUUUUGGUGUUGUGCUUAGCAAAUGUGAGUGAAUUUAGUCUCAUAUCCUCUGUAGUGGGCCUUUGGAUAGUUCCGAUGAGAAAAAGGCCACUCCGGAGUGCAAAAGUGCAUUGUUACCUUCAGAUGCUCGAAAACUUGAAUUGAGAUGAGAUUUGAGUUUCGAGGACGAAACUCCUUUUAAGGAGGGGAGGAUGUAAGGUACCGGAUUUUAAAUGUAAAAGUGAAAAUAAAUAAAAAUAGUGUGGGAUACUAUUUUUAUUGGACUUAUAGACAUAAAUUAUAAGUCUAGAGUGACCCGUGUUGAAAUGGAAGCGAAAACAGAAGAUUUAGAAUUUUCUGUGAGAGACAGGGCAGACGAUAUAUAUCUGUACCGUGCUGCUAAACCGAAUGUGAAUAGUGUUCUUGGAUAACUUGGAGGCCAAGUUUCCUAGAUAACUUGGAGGCCAAGUUUCCUAUGAAACUUGGAGGCUAAGUUUCCUAUGACACUUGGAGACCAAGUUUCCUAUGAAACUUGGAGGCCAAGUUUCCUAUAUAUAUAUAUAGGGGACUUGAGCCUUUUCUUUCUUUCUCCCUCACACUUGCAACCAAAGAGAAAUAUCUCUCUCUCUAACAAUUUCUCCACCAAAGAGAGGAAUUGGAGGUGCAUUUGGAGAAGAAAAAGGUUGCUUGGAGGUGAAGUCUUCAUCCUCUUCAUUACUGGGUUUGAGGAAAAGCUUGCGUUUGAGGUGCCUAAACACGUGUGAAGCGUCGGUUCGUCGAUUCGUCGAGCAGGUGCGACCGAAGAGUAAAGCGGCGACUAGGGAAGUGCAAUUGAGAACCUAGCCUCGUGAUAGCGGUAAAAGGUGGGGGGUGUCAUACCGAAACAUCCGGGCUUCCUUUUAUGUCUAAGUUUUAUUUUGAUCAUAUUCAUAUAUUGAUAUUGUGCAUUAUAGGAUUAGUAGAUGAUUACAUUCCAUUUCCUUACAUGUUUCCUAUGGUAGUGUAGCAUUAUGGGCUUGACACUUGAACUUAGGUUGCAUGAGGAUUGGGUCAUGUGA